UUGCUGCAGUGAUGGUAUAAGCAUAGCUGCUGUCCUUACUCCUAAAGCCUCUUUCUCAAAUUAAUUAGAGAUCUUCUUAAGUUAUCAGUGGCCAGUCUAUGAUGAAACUGUGGUUAGAGCUGUUCUGCUGAAGUUAGUUGUGUGCUGCAGGCUUGACUACUGUCUACCUGCAUGUUGGGGUUUUCAGAGUGUCUUCAAGCUCUUAUCCAAGGGCACUUUUCACUGUCCUGAACCUCCAGGUAGGCAGUGCUCUCCAUCCAGCAGAAAUACCCCUCAUCCUAUAGAUCUUGCCUUGCCCUUGGUUCUCUGCACCUGUGGUGUUUAUUCUAGGUCUGAUCAGCUCUGAUGAAGUUCCAGCAAGACUCAUUUUGCCAAGGAAAUUCAACCAUGUUCUCUCCAGCUCUUGCAGCACUUCACAGGCUGGUGUGCCCAGCUGUGCCUGCAUCCAGAGGAGGAGGCUGUGAGAGUAGCGUGUAGGAUACGGAGCAAGGGAGACUCGUCCUGAGGGCCCACUGGGGCCAGAGCCUCUGAGACAAGGAGGACGUAGCAGUUGAAACUGUCCUGUCAGACCUGAUGGCACCACUGCAGCCCAGACAUCUCCUCAGAGAGCUACCAUCAGUGUAAAGGUGAAGAAGAAGAAAAAAGAGCAUUGAUAUGUGUGAAGUGCAAAAAGUCUAAAGACUUUUUGCAAAGGGUCCGAGCCACUUCCUUUGUGUCUGUUCUUCAGAAUGAAGGUGAAGAGAAGGCACUGCCACGGCACUUAGGAGACUGAGAAGCAUCUGGCAUACUCUGUGCUGUGCAUGGUCAUCUCUGAACACCUUGCAGGGCUGUCUGAGGGGCCAGCACAACCUGGUGUUCUCUGCAGAUGUGGCGUACCAUGGCCAAAGCCAGAGAACUCAUUGUGAGGACGUCACUAGUCAUGGAGGAUACUAGGGAUGGGUUUUCACCUUCCAGCAGAACAAGCUUCCCAGACACAUAGCUCUGUAUCUCUUUGUGCUUGUUACACCUUCCAGAGGAGUUGUUUGUACUGUACUGAUACUGUUUAUAUUGAAUAAAUCCUUUCUCCA
RNAcentral lists this long non-coding RNA (1067 nucleotides) under Gallus gallus (chicken). RNAcentral's name for it is "long non-coding RNA NONGGAT004338". Lineage: Eukaryota; Metazoa; Chordata; Aves; Galliformes; Phasianidae. The record is from RNAcentral.